Molecule: long non-coding RNA, 375 nt
Filed under: Vigna radiata
Lineage: Eukaryota; Viridiplantae; Streptophyta; Magnoliopsida; Fabales; Fabaceae
Description: long non-coding RNA (VRAD_LNC007481)
Source: RNAcentral
GGAGGAUCCAUCAAACGGUUAUACCCAGACGAAAUAAAGGUAACGAUAAAGUGGGAUGGCUGUAAAUGGUAAGUAAAUUCACAAUUAAAUAAGGUAAAACGGUGGUGAUUAUAGGUGAUUAGGCCUUGAUUAAGGUCUUGCUAAUCAAAGCCCAUGACCAAAAAUAUAAGUACAUGUCAAAGGUAAGAGGUAGACACCCCCAUUAAUUGCGCAUUUAGUACAGUACUCAAAUUACCGAGAGGAUUAUUACUUACUUUGGCAUCAGAUAACCUUUGACAGGUAUCCCUCCCGUUGGUAGUUGGUAGAUAAAAGAUUGGAAAGCAGGAUAGUAACUGAACGGAGCUUUGAGAAAAUUGUGCAAGACUUAGGUGACUC